GUGGCUGAACCCAAAAUGGAGGCGGGGCUAGUCUGUGAAACUAGUAUUAGCGGGUUCAACUCCCGUCGGUCACC
Molecule: transfer RNA, 74 nt
Filed under: Romeriopsis navalis LEGE 11480
Lineage: Bacteria; Bacillati; Cyanobacteriota; Cyanophyceae; Leptolyngbyales; Leptolyngbyaceae
Rfam family: tRNA
About the family: Transfer RNA (tRNA) molecules are approximately 80 nucleotides in length. Their secondary structure includes four short double-helical elements and three loops (D, anti-codon, and T loops).
Source: Rfam by way of RNAcentral